GUGCCAGCCGCCGCGGUAAGACGAACCGUGCGAACGUUAUUCGGAAUCACUGGGCUUAAAGCGCGUGUAGGCGGGCUGUCACGUCGGGCGCUGAAAUCCCCCGGCUCAACCGGGGAACGGGCACCGAUACGAGCAGCCUUGAGGGGAGUAGGGGGACCUGGAACUUCCGGUGGAGCGGUGAAAUGCGUUGAGAUCGGAAGGAACGCCCGUGGCGAAAGCGAGGUCCUGGGCUCUUACUGACGCUGAGACGCGAAAGCCAGGGGAGCGAACGGGAUUAGAUACCCCAGUAGUCC
Molecule: ribosomal RNA, 293 nt
Filed under: uncultured bacterium
Lineage: Bacteria
Description: partial 16S ribosomal RNA
Rfam family: Bacterial small subunit ribosomal RNA
Source: RNAcentral